AUUGAAGCCCGAGUAAACGGCGGCCGUAACUAUAACGGUCCUAAGGUAGCGAAAUUCCUUGUCGGUUAAAUACCGACCUGCAUGAAUGGCGUAACGAGAUGGGAGCUGUCUCAACCAGAGAUUCAGUGAAAUUGUAGUGGAGGUGAAAAUUCCUCCUACCCGCGGCAAGACGGAGAGACCCC
RNAcentral lists this ribosomal RNA (182 nucleotides) under Helicobacter pylori. RNAcentral's name for it is "partial 23S ribosomal RNA". It matches the Rfam family "Bacterial large subunit ribosomal RNA", at positions 1911 to 2092 of the family's 2925-position model. Lineage: Bacteria; Pseudomonadati; Campylobacterota; Epsilonproteobacteria; Campylobacterales; Helicobacteraceae. The record is from RNAcentral.